CCCUUGUGGAGGAGGACGCCGAAGGUGGGGCUAAUGACUGGGGUGAAGUCGUAACAAGGUAGCCGUACCGGAAGGUGCGGCUGGAUCACCUCCUAACAGGGAGACAACAAAAUGUUUAAUAUUAUUAUUUUGUCACCUUAGGUCGAUCGGUAUCUCACGUUCUUAAUUUAUUAAGAAUUUCAUUUCCUAAGUUUUUCUAGGUCACACCCAUUAUUUUUUCCUGGGCCAUUAGCUCAGGUGGUUAGAGCGCACCCCUGAUAAGGGUGAGGUCCCUGGUUCAAGUCCAGGAUGGCCCAUAUCUCUCUAUGUUGGGGGUAUAGCUCAGUUGGUAGAGCGCCUGCUUUGCAAGCAGGAUGUCAGCGGUUCGAGUCCGCUUACCUCCACUGAUUACCACCUCUGCAUAAUCUGUAGAAAGGAAAUAUUUUGAGUUGUGACCAAAUUCUGAACGACUCUAGCUUCCUAAUGUAAUCAUUAAGAUGCUGGACUCAUUGGAUUAAUUUCAUUGAUUUCAGAGAACCUUGACAACUGCAUAGAUUUUUUUAAAGACAAUAAGCAUCUUUAUGAUGCAGAUUUAUUAUUUGUGCGAAUGCAUUAAUAACAAUUCUAUUAAGCUGAUGCUUCAAUUUUUGAAGUUAUUGGUCAAGCUACAAAGGGCUCACGGAGGAUACCUA
This 671-nucleotide unclassified non-coding RNA is filed under the name uncultured Prochlorococcus sp. RNAcentral describes it as "partial may contain 16S ribosomal RNA, 16S-23S ribosomal RNA intergenic spacer, and 23S ribosomal RNA". The stretch from base 1 to 96 matches the Rfam family "Bacterial small subunit ribosomal RNA", at positions 1438 to 1533 of the family's 1533-position model. Lineage: Bacteria; Bacillati; Cyanobacteriota; Cyanophyceae; Synechococcales; Prochlorococcaceae. The record is from RNAcentral.